ACUCCUGCGGGAGGCAGCAGUGGGGAAUUUUGGACAAUGGGCGAAAGCCUGAUCCAGCAAUGCCGCGUGAGUGAAGAAGGCCUUCGGGUUGUAAAGCUCUUUUGUCAGGGAAGAAACGGUGAAAGCUAAUAUCUUUUGCUAAUGACGGUACCUGAAGAAUAAGCACCGGCUAACUACGUGCCAGCAGCCGCGGUAAUACGUAGGGUGCAAGCGUUAAUCGGAAUUACUGGGCGUAAAGCGUGCGCAGGCGGUUUUGUAAGUCUGAUGUGAAAUCCCCGGGCUCAACCUGGGAAUUGCAUUGGAGACUGCAAGGCUAGAAUCUGGCAGAGGGGGGUAGAAUUCCACGUGUAGCAGUGAAAUGCGUAGAUAUGUGGAGGAACACCGAUGGCGAAGGCAGCCCCCUGGGUCAAGAUUGACGCUCAUGCACGAAAGCGUGGGGAGCAAACAGGAUUAGAAACCCUGGUAGUCCCAUGAU
This 475-nucleotide ribosomal RNA is filed under the name uncultured organism. RNAcentral's name for it is "partial 16S ribosomal RNA". It matches the Rfam family "Bacterial small subunit ribosomal RNA", at positions 335 to 801 of the family's 1533-position model. The record is from RNAcentral.